Molecule: ribosomal RNA, 592 nt
Filed under: uncultured organism
Description: SSU rRNA
Rfam family: Bacterial small subunit ribosomal RNA
Source: RNAcentral
GAAGGAGGGGAUUGCGUUUGAUUAGCUAGUUGGAGGGGUAACGGCCCACCAAGGCGAUGAUCAGUAGCCGGUCUGAGAGGAUGAACGGCCACAUUGGGACUGAGACACGGCCCAGACUCCUACGGGAGGCAGCAGUGGGGAAUCUUCCGCAAUGGACGAAAGUCUGACGGAGCAACGCCGCGUGAGUGAUGACGGCCUUCGGGUUGUAAAGCUCUGUUAAUCGGGACGAAAGGCCUUCUUGCGAAUAGUUAGAAGGAUUGACGGUACCGGAAUAGAAAGCCACGGCUAACUACGUGCCAGCAGCCGCAGUAAUACGUAGGUGGCAAGCGUUGUCCGGAAUUAUUGGGCGUAAAGCGCGCGCAGGCGGAUUGGUCAGUCUGUCUUAAAAGUUCGGGGCUUAACCCCGUGAUGGGAUGGAAACUGCCAAUCUAGAGUAUCGGAGAGGAAAGUGGAAUUCCUAGUGUAGCGGUGAAAUGCGUAGAUAUUAGGAAGAACACCAGUGGCGAAGGCGACUUUCUGGACGAAAACUGACGCUGAGGCGCGAAAGCCAGGGGAGCGAACGGGAUUAGAUACCCCGGUAGUCCUGGCCGUA